This 353-nucleotide unclassified non-coding RNA is filed under the name soil metagenome. RNAcentral describes it as "partial contains 5.8S ribosomal RNA, internal transcribed spacer 2, and large subunit ribosomal RNA". The stretch from base 1 to 120 matches the Rfam family "5.8S ribosomal RNA", at positions 35 to 154 of the family's 154-position model. The record is from RNAcentral.
GAUGAAGAACGCAGCGAAAUGCGAUAAGUAAUGUGAAUUGCAGAAUUCAGUGAAUCAUCGAAUCUUUGAACGCACAUUGCGCCCGCCAGUAUUCUGGCAGGCAUGCCUGUUCGAGCGUCAUUACAACCCUCAGGCCCCCGGGCCUGGCGUUGGGGAUCGGCGGAAGCCCCCUGCGGGCACAACGCCGUCCCCCAAAUACAGUGGCGGUCCCGCCGCAGCUUCCAUUGCGUAGUAGCUAACACCUCGCAACUGGAGAGCGGCGCGGCCACGCCGUAAAACACCCAACUUCUGAAUGUUGACCUCGAAUCAGGUAGGAAUACCCGCUGAACUUAAGCAUAUCAAUAAGCGGAGGA